RNAcentral lists this ribosomal RNA (253 nucleotides) under uncultured bacterium. RNAcentral describes it as "partial 16S ribosomal RNA". It matches the Rfam family "Bacterial small subunit ribosomal RNA", at positions 524 to 776 of the family's 1533-position model. The record is from RNAcentral.
UACGUAGGGUGCGAGCGUUGUCCGGAAUUACUGGGCGUAAAGAGCUCGUAGGUGGUUUGUCGCGUUGUUCGUGAAAUCUCACGGCUUAACUGUGAGCGUGCGGGCGAUACGGGCAGACUAGAGUACUGCAGGGGAGACUGGAAUUCCUGGUGUAGCGGUGGAAUGCGCAGAUAUCAGGAGGAACACCGGUGGCGAAGGCGGGUCUCUGGGCAGUAGCUGACGCUGAGGAGCGAAAGCGUGGGGAGCGAACAGG